GACGAACGCUGGCGGCGUGCCUAAUACAUGCAAGUAGAAAGCAGUUGCGAACGGGUGAGUAACGCGUAGGUACCUGCCUGGUAGCGGGGGAUAACUUUUGGAAACGCAAGCUAAUCCCGCAUACUACAAGAUCGCCCUGCGUUGUAUUAGUUAGUUGGUGGGGUAACGGCUCACCAAGGCAACGAUACAUAGCCGACCUUAGAGGGUGAUCGGCCACACUGGGACUGAGACACGGCCCAGACUCCUACGGGAGGCAGCAGUAGGGAAUCUUCGGCAAUGGACGGAAGUCUGACCGAGCAACGCCGCGUGAGUGAAGAAGGUUUUGGGAUCGUAAAGCUCUGUUGUAAGAGAAGCGGUAUCUUACCAGAAAGGGACGGCUAACUACGUGCCAGCAGCCGCGGUAAUUC
This 407-nucleotide ribosomal RNA is filed under the name uncultured bacterium. RNAcentral describes it as "partial 16S ribosomal RNA". It matches the Rfam family "Bacterial small subunit ribosomal RNA", at positions 28 to 526 of the family's 1533-position model. The record is from RNAcentral.